AGAGUUUGAUCCUGGCUCAGGAUGAACGCUGGCGGCGUGCUUAACACAUGCAAGUCGAACGAUGACUUUUGUGCUUGCACAAAAUGAUUAGUGGCGAACGGGUGAGUAACACGUGAGUAACCUGCCCUUAACUUCGGGAUAAGCCUGGGAAACCGGGUCUAAUACCGGAUACGACGGAUCUCCGCAUGGGGGUCCGUGGAAAGCUUGAUGCGGUUUUGGAUGGACUCGCGGCCUAUCAGCUAGUUGGUUGGGGUAAUGGCCCACCAAGGCGACGACGGGUAGCCGGCCUGAGAGGGUGACCGGCCACACUGGGACUGAGACACGGCCCAGACUCCUACGGGAGGCAGCAGUGGGGAAUAUUGCACAAUGGGCGAAAGCCUGAUGCAGCGACGCCGCGUGAGGGACGAAGGCCUUCGGGUUGUAAACCUCUUUCAGCAGGGAAGAAGCGAAAGUGACGGUACCUGCAGAAGAAGCGCCGGCUAACUACGUGCCAGCAGCCGCGGUAAUACGUAGGGCGCAAGCGUUAUCCGGAAUUAUUGGGCGUAAAGAGCUCGUAGGCGGUUUGUCGCGUCUGCUGUGAAAGCCCGGGGCUCAACCCCGGGUCUGCAGUGGGUACGGGCAGACUAGAGUGCAGUAGGGGAGACUGGAAUUCCUGGUGUAGCGGUGAAAUGCGCAGAUAUCAGGAGGAACACCGAUGGCGAAGGCAGGUCUCUGGGCUGUAACUGACGCUGAGGAGCGAAAGCGUGGGGAGCGAACAGGAUUAGAUACCCUGGUAGUCCAUGCCGUAAACGUUGGGCACU
Molecule: ribosomal RNA, 800 nt
Filed under: uncultured bacterium
Lineage: Bacteria
Description: bacterial SSU rRNA
Rfam family: Bacterial small subunit ribosomal RNA
Source: RNAcentral